GGCGGCAUAGCUCAGUUGGUAGAGCAGCGGAAUCAUAAUCCGCGUGUCAUCGGUUCGAGCCCGGUUGCCGCUA
This is a transfer RNA of Waddlia chondrophila, 73 nucleotides long. It matches the Rfam family "tRNA". From Rfam's summary of the family: Transfer RNA (tRNA) molecules are approximately 80 nucleotides in length. NCBI's taxonomy places the organism in Bacteria, Pseudomonadati, Chlamydiota, Chlamydiia, Parachlamydiales, Waddliaceae. The record is from Rfam.